CCGCGGUACCCUGACCGUGCAAAGGUAGCAUAAUCAUUUGCCUUUUAAUUGGAGGCUAGUAUGAAAGGACACACAAGAAUAAAGCUGUCUCACUUGAAUUUUUAAUAAACUGAUAUUUAGGUGAAGAAGCCUGAAUUAUUAUAAAGGACAAGAAGACCCUAUAGAGCUUUACUAAUAACAGACAUAAAUAAACUUAAUUAUUAGUUUGGUUGGGGCAACCAAAAGAUAAAUAAACCUCUUAAUUACUUAACCAUACACACACCCAAUAAUGUCUUAGAAUAUAGCUACCUUAGGGAUAACAGGUUAAUCCUACUAAAGAGAUCACAUUGACAGUAGGGGUUGACACCUCGAUGUUGGCUUAGUGUAACUAUUAGGCCGCAGCAGUUUUAUAAAGUUGGUUUGUUCAACCAUUAAAUCACU
Molecule: ribosomal RNA, 420 nt
Filed under: Hediste limnicola
Lineage: Eukaryota; Metazoa; Annelida; Polychaeta; Phyllodocida; Nereididae
Description: partial 16S ribosomal RNA
Rfam family: Bacterial large subunit ribosomal RNA
Source: RNAcentral